GAUGAACGCUGGCGGCGUGCUUAACACAUGCAAGUCGAACGAUGAAGCUGGAGCUUGCUCCGGUGGAUUAGUGGCGAACGGGUGAGUAACACGUGAGCAAUCUGCCUUCAACACUGGGAUAACUCCGGGAAACCGGGGCUAAUACCGGAUAUGAAACCUGCGGGCAUCCGCGGGUUUGGAAAGUUUUUCGGUUGAAGAUGAUCUCGCGGCCUAUCAGCUUGUUGGUGAGGUAAUGGCUCACCAGGGCGACGACGGGUAGCCGGCCUGAGAGGGCGACCGGCCACACUGGGACUGAGACACGGCCCAGACUCCUACGGGAGGCAGCAGUGGGGAAUAUUGGGCAAUGGAGGAAACUCUGACCCAGCGACGCCGCGUGCGGGAUGAAGGCCUUCGGGUUGUAAACCGCUUUCAGCAGGGAAGAAGCGAAAGUGACGGUACCUGCAGAAGAAGCACCGGCUAACUAUGUG
Molecule: ribosomal RNA, 467 nt
Filed under: uncultured bacterium
Lineage: Bacteria
Description: bacterial SSU rRNA
Rfam family: Bacterial small subunit ribosomal RNA
Source: RNAcentral